Molecule: long non-coding RNA, 3194 nt
Organism: Austrofundulus limnaeus
Lineage: Eukaryota; Metazoa; Chordata; Actinopteri; Cyprinodontiformes; Rivulidae
Exons: 2
Source: RefSeq, a predicted model, not a curated record
UAUAUGAUUAGAUUUUCAGAAAGGCACACUCAUUUCUUUACAAAACAAAAAACAUCACUAUGAAUUACUCCUCACCAGAAGCUGUCAAUAAAUUGACAUUUCCUUAAUAAUUAAAAAAUGUCUUGUUAUUGGUUUAGUACUUUUAUUAAACAGUCAUUUAAGUUUUCGUCUUAGUUUUGAUUCUCCUCAUGAAAACUGCAAAUCUUCGUGUGCUUCUUUUCAUACAGUAACAUCAUUUCUCCUGUAGAGGGCAGCAUUGGAUCACAGUUCCUGCUAAAGUCCUACUUGUGGCCUUAACUUCACAUCAAGACUAUUAUGUCUGUGUUCAGGGUUCUUAUCAGUGGGUCCUGAGGGAUGAAGAUUGUAAACUCGUUUGCUUUUGGUUUUUAUACAAACAGUGGUGCUACACUGGUCCACAAACAAAAGACUUCURCAUCUGGACCACGUUCCUGUUUUUCAAGCCAGUUCUCCGACCCUGCAGGCUCUCAGGAGGGAGAAAACGACACGUUCGGGGACUGAAAGAAGGUGUUUUCAGUUAACGGAUGGAGAAAAGACAAGAAUUAUGAAGAGUGGGUGAGAAGAAAAAUGACACAAGUCGUCUCCCCCCCACCUUCCCCUCCUCUUCCCUUUUCAGRAAAGCACUGAAAGAAGAAAUUACACCAUGGAAGUUAAUGAAGUCUCACGAGUUGAUGAGGGGAAAAUUGCGGCGAAGAGGGGUCAGUGCUUUCUCUUUAGCCUUUCCCUCUUCUGCGUAAAAUGGCUGCGGUCGAGAUCCAUACUUUUAGAGGACGCUGAGCUCUUCAACGCGGAGAUAGAGAAAGGGAGAUGGUGGUGGGUGGGGGGGCUCCAAGAUUAAUGGUAUUAAGUGGUAGCACUUGGCAAUGUGGUAACAUAUCGUCUGUGUUCUCUACUAUUGGGCUGAUCAUUUCAUAGACCUUGUCUUUACACAAUGACUUUUAGCUGUGAUUUACCUGAUUCAAAUAAUCCCGUCAUCACAAGCCCUGCAACCAUCCUUGGUGCAGAUCCACACCAAGAGUUGGGUUUAUCAAAUAAUAAAAUACAAUCUGCAACUUCAAACAGUUUGAUGCCUCCUGCACUCGCUGGAUAUCAUGCAAAAGUCCCCAAAAAUCUGAACUUUGUCUUCAAAAUUUUAUUUAUUUGUAGCAACAGUUUUUCCCCUUGGUUUAAUGUCACUGAGAAUUGAAGAGGUUUUAUUUGUUGUUGUUUCUUUUUUUUAAUAUAUGUACAUGUUGACAUUUUUGGAUAUGUGAACCCUUUUCUAGAUCAUUGGAGGAGGAUGCACAUUUUAUCUGACAGGAACACACACAGGACCAUCCUUGUGAUGAAGUAGCGCCAACGAGAAGUCACUCAAGUCAAACUCUCUUCCUUCUAAUGAGCAAAGUGUCCCAUGGACGCCACAUCUGAGACACACAAAAGUAAAUGUGUCACAAGUGCACACGAACGGCCUUCAAUGGGAUGAAAUCCAGAGGAUUUGGACCAAAGUCCAAUCCGCCUUUGAGUAACUUUAAAAGGCCUCAUGGUGUUUGGAGUGAAGAACGAAGAGAAAACGGAUGUGUGUGUGUGAGGGUACAGUUUGAGAGAGGGGUGGUGGUGGGUGGGGGGGAAUCGGCUUGUUUCGACCAGAGCCGCCAUCAAAAUCUCCCCUGGUCUAUCUCAGUCCCUCAGYCCUCUACUUAAGACCAAAAGCGGCAAAAAAAGCGAUGGAAUGUUAGAUAACGAGAAAAAAAAAGACACAGAGAGCGGAAGAUGGAAAGUGAGAGGAACAGCAGUGUGGAAGCCCCUCAGCGUGUGUGCUGCCUCUCUCCCACCGUGCAGUGCGCCAGCCUGCCCCUCUCAGCCUAUUCAAAGAGAGUGUGUGGUGGCGCAGGAGUGUGUGCAUGUGUGUGUGUGUGUGCGUUUCUUCACAGAUGUCCUUGAACAGAACCCCCAUCGGCUCUGCGGAUCCCUGCUGCCACUGGAGAACAUUUGACAAGCAGCAGGCUCUUGUUAGAGCGCUGUCAAAUUAAAGGUGUCUGAGUGUGUGUGAGUGUGUGUAUGUGUUUCAGAGGCUCUAUUCAGAGCCCUGUCAAAUUAAAACUACCAAACAAACUGUGCGUGUCACACAGACAGGCCAGGUCCUGUCUGUGACGGCAGAGGUAGGCUUAGGGCUGCUUUGUCUGCGUUCGUGUGUGUAUGUGUGUGUGUGUGUGUGUGUGUGUGUAUAAGUGUAAGGAAAAAAGACUUUUCAGCAGGCCUCUUCUUGUGUAUGCAUCUUUCACUUGUUUGCAACAAAACAAAUACAUGCAUUUCUGUGGAGGUAGAAUCAGAUGGGUUGUGUGUUAAAAUAAAACACAGGUGUACAAAUGUCUAACCUUAGCAAACGGUGAGGUAUAAAAGUCUCUUAUUAUGCACCAGACAUACAGAGGCUCUAAAAAGAAAUGUGAUUGGUUACUUUGCACUUACUGCGCUAUAUUGUACAACACUUCAGCUCCAGCUUUGAAUUUAUUUCAAAACUAAAAAAAAAAAAAACAAUAACUGAGAAUUAUGAUCAAAAUAACUGGAAAAUGAUUUUGGAGAAUUCACACUACCUGCAGUUUGAAUCCUUGCCUUGGUUUUUAGAGUUUCAUUGAAMCCCUUUAUUUUUUCUUGUGUUUCAUUGGCCAUGUUUCCAUCUACGGUGCACACGAAGGGACAUGGAGAGGUUAUUAUUAUUUUGCAUUCCCACACAAUACUUUUUCAUUACCUCGCAUUACUUUUUGCAUUCCCAUGCAAACAUUUGCAUUCUCUCGCAAAAUUGAUUUGUGUUCCCUCGCAAAAGUUUAAYGUUUUGUAUGAACUGUAUUUGGAAAUAUCUGGUUAGUGAAACAGGAUGUGUUGYACACAAGUAUUGUAUGGCUGCACGAUAGAGUUAUAAUAUUUAAAUAUUGCAGACGUCCAUGCGUGGCUGUGAUACAKUCAUACCGAAGCUGCACUAAAGUAGUAAGCUAACUYGUAUAMUGGCGAGCAUGUGAAUUUGUUAAUUAAGCAGCAGGCACAACMGUAAUAAACAGCUUUUGCGAUGUWAUGCAACAGAAUUGCGUGGGAAUGCAAAAGGAAGAAAUCCUCCCUUGUCACCUUGUGGGCUCCGUACCAUCCAACUGUAAUUCAACAUUUGAGUGAACUUUUAAAUGUCAAAUAAAAAGAAAAUCAAAUUA